UUUAAUCUAUAUCUAUAAUAGAAACAAUUUUCUAUUAAAUGCAUUAAAUACAUUCAUUUACUUUGCAUGGUUGGUUUAUGUCAAUUAAUCAAAGAAUUUAUAUGUUCAAAAUUAACAAAAUGUUUGCUUUAAUGCUGACACUGGCAGCUGUUCAAAGAAACAUGACCUCAAUGUACCUCAAACUCUCCUUUGGUGUACUUGGCGUCUGGAACACUUACAAUCUCAUCUUCUUCACACUCAGGAAAGCCCUGAAGAAAACAGGGUGACAGCUGAAAAUGACCUACAUUAAUGUGCCACAGGGUGAGAGUGGCAAUCACCAUGGCUGCAGUAGUUCGGGCUUUCCCAUUAUGACAGUUGAAGAUGAAAGCACAGUUGGGGUCUUCAGCCAGACUGCUCUUCAUGGCCUCCAAUAAGCGGUGCACAGCAGUCAGUCAGGGGAAUCCGCUGGUAGCUGAGACCUGGAUAAAUGCUCUUCUGAUGGACAAAGAGCUCCUCUAUGGUGUGACAACUCUUAAACAUCCUCAUCUGUUUAUCCUGCUCUGUAAUCACUUCCAG
Onychostoma macrolepis is the source of this 555-nucleotide long non-coding RNA. RefSeq lists it as uncharacterized. The record is from RefSeq and is a predicted model, not a curated record. The transcript is spliced from 3 exons. NCBI's taxonomy places the organism in Eukaryota, Metazoa, Chordata, Actinopteri, Cypriniformes, Cyprinidae.